This 107-nucleotide small nuclear RNA is filed under the name Bison bison bison. Lineage: Eukaryota; Metazoa; Chordata; Mammalia; Artiodactyla; Bovidae. The record is from RNAcentral.
GUGCUGGCUUCAGCAGCACAUAUACUAAAACUGGAACAAUGCAGAGAAGAUUAGCGUGGCCCCUGCACAAGGCUGACAUGCAAAUUUGUAAAGCAUUCCAUAUUUUU